UCACAGAUGUUUUACACACGGUGGUCACAAGCAAUAGUUCCAGUGUGUAUGCUGACAACGCUUUUAUUUGGUUUGUUAAUCUUGGUUGUUGAUUUGAUUGAUUUUCUAUUUUAAUCAGCUCACUGUGAUGGACUUUGGCCCGCAAUUUCCUGAUUGCUUUGCUUCCUCUUUGAACAUGGCAAUUCCUUCAUUCCUGAAUGGAGGCACACCAGUGACCAUUCCAGGGUUGUCUCAGAGUCUCUGGUAAUGGGUGGAAUUUAUUGGACCUUCGGUCUAAAGACAAAGUUCCAGACUGCGAAAAGUGAAAGAAUUGGGGAAAGCAGAAAUAAAGCCACAGAUGUGUCCGAUGGCCCGUUGGUUGGAAAGUAAAGACGAGAGAUGCCACGAGUGACUGGCAUGAUUCAGAAUGGUCAGAUUUACAUUACGUCAAGUGCCAAUUAUCAGUAGGAACGGAGUAAAGAGAUCAGAUAAAUGGAUUCAGCAGUGGAGUGCUCCCUGAGUGCCUGUGCAUUUGAGUUUGAUGCACUUGGAUGAUGCACGUCAAGAAAACAAAACAAGUUCUGACGUCAAAAUUUAAUCCUUUGGAAAAUUAAUGCUAUUCAACAAAGCUGAUGACUGCACUAACCUCAAUAGACAAUUUUGAAUUUCUAUAUCAAUGCCGUACCUGACGUGAAUACUACAGCUAGAGUCUCAGUAUCAUCCCACUUAUUAUUAAUCAAUGCAAGCUGCACUUAGGCGACUAGCAGCGUAUAGAUUCGUUCAGAAAUAGAGAAACAGUGAACAACUUUGUUUUGAACACUAUCCAAAUAAAAACAUCCAUAGAUGAUUACAAUCACAAGCAUACAUGUGUGCAAGGAGAAAGGAGACAAGAAUGCAGAAUGUAGUGUAACAGCUACAGAGAAAAUGCAGAUAAAAAAGGUGCAAGGAUUGCAACAAAUUAGAUUGAGGGGCAGAGGUGAGUGUCAGGAAUACAUCCCUUGCCUUGUGAGAGGUCUGUUCAAGAGUCUGACACAUUAGAAAAGAAGCAGUCCUUGAAUCUUCACCGAAGAAAGAUCCUGAUCCACAGUGGACACCAUCUAAUGAACAAUGGAGUCAACUGUUUCCGUCCUUGGUGACAAGAUAAUUAUUGCCUCUUUUGUGUCAUUCCUUGAACCUGCCUCUUUGAAGUAUUCUCAAGGUGCAGGUUGAGAAGCAGGAGAAUCCAUUGUUCAUUGAAUGAGGACUUCUUUAGAUUGUACAGAAUGGCACAGAAUUAUAUGUAUUGUGAUCCCCCAGCAAUGAAAACAAACUACUUAACAAUAGUAAUAAAAAAACAGAAUGAGACUGGAAGAGUUCAAUAAAUUGUGCGUCAUUUGUGGAGAGGAACAGAACAAAUGUUUCAGUCGAAUGAGUGAUCAAUAAUUUGAAUUGUGUCUCAAUCAUAAUGUGAGAGUACAAGGUGAGACUGGUCCAUUCAAAGUCAAUAAAUUGUCUGUGCUGUGCUUAUCCUGAUUUACUAAGAAUGGACUUUCAAGUACAGCAAUCAGGAGCAGGAGAUCCAAUUAAUCUCUUGAUGCAGGACACUAAGGUCAAUCUGUGCCAUUGGUGACUCUGGAGAAUGAAACUUGCAACUUCCGAUAUUAAUGUAAUCCAUGGCAAAGCAGAAUGGAAAUCAGUCAAGAAAUGAUUAGUUUAAUAUGCAAGUCUAAAUAGCCUCAAACCACAAUUGGCAGAAAUAUUGGUGAGAUGAGCAACAAGAGCUCCAGUGGCAACUAACAUUUUCUCUGCAGGAGCUCACCCACUCUUCUGAGCUCUAUCAACACUGCUCUGCCAGAAGACCAGUCUGCUGGGUUACUUCUGGGAUACCACCAGGGGCACCGCAUGAUUGGCAGCCCCGCCAACAGUCUGUUUGUUUUUUAUAUUAAAUUUAGUGUGUGUUAAAAGUCUGUGUCACAAUCUGCGCUCUCCUCAUUCUCAUCCACUUCACCUCCCAGUACUUUUCCACCGGUCCCUCCUUCUCCUCACCUGCCUGCCUGCCACUCCCCUCUCAUCAGCCCAACUCUCCUCACCUGUUGCACUCAGUUGCCUCUGAUCACCAAUUAACCCGGUAUAUAGACUCUCCUCACCGUUCACACAGUGCCAGAUUGUUCUCAGCGUUCAUGCAGGAUCUCCAGCGAUUUCCAGACUGACUACACGGAUUCGAACCUGCCUGCCCCUGACCCUGACCAUUCCAUCCUGUUG
Long non-coding RNA from Leucoraja erinaceus (little skate), 2220 nucleotides. RefSeq lists it as uncharacterized. The record is from RefSeq and is a predicted model, not a curated record. Lineage: Eukaryota; Metazoa; Chordata; Chondrichthyes; Rajiformes; Rajidae. The transcript is spliced from 3 exons.